GACGAACGCUGGCGGCGUGCUUAACACAUGCCAGUCGAACGGAAAGGCCCUGCUUUUGUGGGGUGCUCGAGUGGCGAACGGGUGAGUAACACGUGAGUAACCUGCCCUUGCCUUUGGGAUAACUUCAGGAAACUGGGGCUAAUACCGGAUAGGAGCUCCUGCUGCAUGGUGGGGGUUGGAAAGUUUCGGCGGUUGGGGAUGGACUCGCGGCUUAUCAGCUUGUUGGUGGGGUAGUGGCUUACCAAGGCUUUGACGGGUAGCCGGCCUGAGAGGGUGACCGGCCACAUUGGGACUGAGAUACGGCCCAGACUCCUACGGGAGGCAGCAGUGGGGAAUAUUGCACAAUGGGCGGAAGCCUGAUGCAGCAACGCCGCGUGCGGGAUGACGGCCUUCGGGUUGUAAACCGCUUUCGCCUGUGACGAAGCGUGAGUGACGGUAAUGGGUAAAGAAGCACCGGCUAACUACGUG
This 468-nucleotide ribosomal RNA is filed under the name uncultured bacterium. RNAcentral's name for it is "partial 16S ribosomal RNA". It matches the Rfam family "Bacterial small subunit ribosomal RNA", at positions 28 to 507 of the family's 1533-position model. The record is from RNAcentral.